Sapajus apella (tufted capuchin) is the source of this 1026-nucleotide long non-coding RNA. RefSeq lists it as uncharacterized. The transcript has 2 exons. The record is from RefSeq and is a predicted model, not a curated record. NCBI's taxonomy places the organism in Eukaryota, Metazoa, Chordata, Mammalia, Primates, Cebidae.
AGGGGAUCUUUUCCCCAUUGCUUGUUUUUGAAUGAUUUAGUUUUUUAAAGCCUGUAAUUCAGAUUUUUCACAUAUUUAGAGUUUUCACUCUACUACAUGUAAAUUAGUAAGAUUUUGCUGUGUUUAUUUUGAUAUGAAGGACAGACAUUAAAUUGGAGUUUAGGUCUUCUGUGUGCACUGUUCACUGCAUUUUGUUUGUUAAAGUUACAUUUAGUGCUUAUAACAGGAUAGUCACAGAUGUGCUGAGUAGAGGAAUAGUUCUUACGGCCUAGAGAGGAUGAGCAAGAAAUAAUCUACCUGUAAUAACAUACUAAGAAACAGUGGCACUUGCCAACAAAUGAGUUACUUUAAUUUCUCAUUCUUCCUUACAUUGACUAUAUGUCUAAUCACUUUGCCUAAAAGCAUUUAGAAUCACUCUGGAAAGAAAAAUAAUGGAGAUGUUUGGCCAACAAUGUAGAGAAAAGGAAAAAGAGUACAACUCCAAUGAAAAGGGCUGAGAGGGGAGAGCUGUAGUUCAACAGAGAGGAAAAGUCAGAGGGCCUCCUCCACCCUUCCCGCAAUGCCAUGCUAGCUGUUGGACCUGCAACCCUUGCCUUCCUCUGUGCCCAGACCCACACAAACAGUGAUGAAGCUUCGCAGCCAGAGGUGGGAGAGCCACCACCAGGACAGUGCUAGCAUUGGAACUGGUCCUACUUUAAGUGUUUAUGGCAGUGGAAACUUGGUCUGUACCCAGAAGAGCCCAAGACGUUGUUUCUUGAGGGCAUACAGCUUUUAAUGACCAUUGAACAAAUGCUACAUGAUUUAGCAUUGAGACAAAUGGGAAUAUAUCAGCCUUUGUAAGGGGGUGAAGGUGGCUGACAUUUUUGCUUAUAAUCAUGGACUUAUUUGGGUAAACUACGUACUAACGGUUUACAGUUUUAACUUUAUCUUACUAGAAGGUCUAAAGGGUUUUUGGUUAUAAGCGGAAAAUGUAGAAUGUCUUAAAAAAAAAAACAAGGGGAAAUAAGAGUUUUUUUCACUCUUAGA